AUGACCUGGAAGUCUUCCCCUGCUGCGCACUACGGGUGCAUGCGUGCAUGUAGUAGCUCCGUACGUACGGUGGCAUGGACCCCGAGUCUUGUCCGGUUUUCCGCGGAUGAAAUGGGACAUGACGGGGACGGGUGGAGCAUGAGCAACGUCGCAAGUCGCAACGGAAUGAAUUGUGAAGACGUGUCGCGCGUGUGUCGUACACGCGCAUCCUUGACCGUGGAGACGGGCCGAAGAGGUCGGGAGCGACAUCAAGCGGACAACAUACUCCUUGACGGCGCGCACACCCCCAAGAUCACCGACAUCGGGAUCUCCAAGCUGCUCGGGAACCAGCAAGUGCACACCACGGUGACCAACAUCAGGGGCACCAGGGGGUCCAUCGCCCCGGAAUGGUUUCGCGGCAACGCGCGGAUCGACACCAAGGGAGGAGACGAGGCAGUCAUGCUGUUCGAGUGGGCGAUCCAACUAGUCAGCAGCCAGAGGACUGAGCUCAUACUGCCGGAAGACAAUGACGCGGUGGCGAACUUGGAGAGGGUGGAGAGGUUCGCGCGUGUGGCGUUCUGGUGCAUCGAGCCCAACCCGUCGCUCCGGCCGACGAUGCACCAUGUGGUGCAGAUGCUGGAGAGCGUGGUUGCUGAGGCUGAGGUGCUACCUGACCCUCCCUCGUGUUACAUGGACUUGGCUCCUUUGACCGUGUCUUUUGUUUAA
Molecule: ribosomal RNA, 705 nt
Filed under: Triticum aestivum (bread wheat)
Lineage: Eukaryota; Viridiplantae; Streptophyta; Magnoliopsida; Poales; Poaceae
Description: partial small subunit ribosomal RNA
Source: RNAcentral